GUUAAACGCAUCAAACUUCUAUUUCUCUCUCCCUCUCUCUCUCUCGAAUCCUCUCGGCGAUUUGUUUGGCGAUUUGAUCGAUCGAUGCUCUUCUUCUUCCGACCGGUUGGAUAUGUUGCUUCUCGUUGAAUCUGUGUCUCGGUGGGUCACCUAGACGGCGAUGGAGUUUUGCAGCGGUGAUUCGGCUCUAAUCGAAAGGUAAAUCUUCCUCUAGUCUUCCUUCAAUGCAUGUGAUUGACUGUUGUUCAAGUUGUGUUCUGAUUGCAAUAUCUCUGUUUUUUGUUUUGUUUGUUCGGUUCGAUUUGGUGUUCCGGUGGCGACGGAGCUCUCCUCGACGGCCCCGACCUCUCUGCGAUUGGGAAGAAGCUGUCUGUCGGUGGCGAGGGAUCUCUUUCACGGUGGCUCUCCUCUAAUCGAAGGAAGAUGAAGUCUCGUCAAACCAGAGGAGUGCAAAGCAAAUCACAAUACAGAACUUUCAGUGACAGGCAAGGUAAAGAUUUACAAAUACAAAGAGAUUCGUCAGGCUACAAAUGAUUUCGAUGCCCUGAAUAAAAUUGGAGGAGGGUUUGGCUUUGUGUACAAGGGCCGUCUUAAAGAUGGAAAGAUUGCAGCUAUCAAAGUCCUUUCCACUGAGUCAAGACAAGGCGUGAAAGAGUUCUUGACCGAGAUCAAUGUCAUAUCAGAAAUACAGCACGAGAAUUUGGUUAAGUUAUAUGGAUGCUGCUGACAUGAGUCAUGUUCGGUGGCAUAAGCCGGGCGAAUCCAAAGUCAGAGAUCUUGGGGGAUAAGUCUCUGUCAAGUAGAAUGUUGCUCGCUUUGAUAUCUCUAUGAAUGAUAUGCAGACGUUGUUGAUUCAGUUGAUUCAGUUGUAUUGAAUGAGUCUUAACCGGGAUGUUAUCAUAUUUUUUCCCUUUUGUAUUAUGUUUUAUUGAAUAAAAAAAAAAAAAUUAUAAAAAAAGUUUAA
Long non-coding RNA from Raphanus sativus (radish), 964 nucleotides. RefSeq lists it as uncharacterized. The record is from RefSeq and is a predicted model, not a curated record. The transcript has 4 exons. NCBI's taxonomy places the organism in Eukaryota, Viridiplantae, Streptophyta, Magnoliopsida, Brassicales, Brassicaceae.